Molecule: long non-coding RNA, 1798 nt
Organism: Aedes albopictus (Asian tiger mosquito)
Lineage: Eukaryota; Metazoa; Arthropoda; Insecta; Diptera; Culicidae
Exons: 2
Source: RefSeq, a predicted model, not a curated record
CGUUUUACGUUUUUUUAGAUAAAAUUGAAUAAAAAAUUAAUUAAUGGACUAAAAGUUAUUUAAAUUUUUGUUUUGUAUUUACGUUAACGAUAUUGAAAUAUUUCAUUUGUUUGUAAAAUCGGUCCAUGCCUGUUACUUAUGCUCAUGUAUGUCAUAGUAUAUGUUAAAGCUUUCGUGUUAAGCGCUUUUAUAGCAUGAUACGCAUGGCGCUUACAUACUUUUUGGCGGAUUACAGUCGCGCUGCAAUUUUGUCGCCAUGCAUGAAAAUCGCCAUGCCGAAUUAGUUGGCGCGAUUUGGAAUAAUAGUUAGCAAUUUCAAUAGUGGGACUUUUGAAAAGCGGCACAGUUUCGAGGCGCAAGUGAUAUUCUGACUCGGUCAUUUCGCUACGAGUACGGCUGGAAAGCAGAAGUGCGCGAGUUAAGUCCAAGUUAUUCGAAAGUUAUAUUGAGUUUGAGUUCAGUCUAAGAUUGAGUUGAAGUUAAUUGAAGUUUAUUACGGUGCAAGUUAUUUUUGCAAAUUAAAGGUAAAAGUAGUGAGUGAGUUUCUUAAUGUAAAAGUGAUGUUAAACGUUUUUGGUGUCUUUCUUUCACGUUUAGUGGACCGAGGUCCGAGAUUUCGCAGUUUCUGCUGAAUUUUUAUUGAGUUACGGAACUAUCUACGAAAAAAGCGCCCAGCGCUUUUUUCGUACGGCUGGUUUUUGUGAAUUUCGUUCGGCAACCGUCAUCGCCGAAUCGGGGAACUUCUGGUGGAGUGUACCGCCAUUUCCGUCUGGAUCUUCGCGACCCGUGUGCCCAGCAAAGGCCCGCCUCCAGUAGGCAGUCAAACGGAGGCGCGAGUGAAGUCGCUCUUUCAUCUAGUAGCGAGGUUCUCCCGUCGGUCGCCAAAAGCCGAAGGUAAGGUCCCGUCCGUCAAUCCCCGAGGACCAGAGUACGAGAGGCGAUUCGCUGAAGCGUGUCGUCAAUAGCACGCCGCGAAUCCGAUCCAAUUCCGGAAAGUAGGAAACGUACUAUUCCCCGCUCGGUCAUAGCUGGAAUCUAAGUACGCGAAGCCGGGUCGCUGGGCUCUUUAGUGCCUUCCUAUUGACCGGAGGAGGAUCCUCCCGGGUACAAGCGGCUUCCGCCGUUUCCCUCUCGAGUAGACAAUCGGAAGCUUCCAACCAGCCGCCACUCCCUCCGCACCGGUAAUUCGGCCAUACCGCACACGGGUCCUUCGUCGUCGCUGCGCGCCAAAUCGCAGCACGGUCACGCCGGCAAACACUAUUAUUGACCGCCAUCACCGAACGUCGAAGUCGUCGCCAUCUUCGAGCAACGUCCUCCGUCACCGAACAUCGGAUCACCGAAAAACCUGCGCAGGUACGUGAGAGCUUUUAUACAUGGCCAUGUUUUGCUCUUUUCCAUUCCGUAUGAGAACCUUCCGUCCAACACGAAUGAAUUCCUAGAAUAAAUAGUAGAAAGUUUGAAAUUUCGUUUAGUUCCGUUACGUUUCACAUCGCUUAAUUGAAUAAACAUACUCACUACCUUCCGUUACGUUUUAGUUCCGUUACUUCGCUCGGAUGAGUAAGAAUUCCUUCUAGUUUUCCCUAAGUAUCUUUUAGCCUGUGAAAGAGUUGGAUUUAAACUUGCGUUCGAAGAAAUUCUGCCGUUUACCAAGAACCGUUCAAAACCGUCCCUGAGUGAAAUAGUCUCUUGCAAAGUCGGGCAAAUUUCAACACGACCGGUGGUCUCUCUUUGAGAGUGGCGCUUAAGCCACCGUGCUUUAACCAAAUCCUCAAGAAUAGUUUACGAACGGUUACAUUGG